This 293-nucleotide long non-coding RNA is filed under the name Pan troglodytes (chimpanzee). RNAcentral describes it as "long non-coding RNA NONPTRT005122". The record is from RNAcentral. Lineage: Eukaryota; Metazoa; Chordata; Mammalia; Primates; Hominidae.
UGGCGCUUGAGUUGGUCGGGGGCAGCGGCAGGCUGUAAAAAUUAAAAUGAACAAACUACGGCAAAGUUUUAGGAGAAAGAAGGAUGUUUAUGUUCCAGAGGCCAGUCGUCCACAUCAGUGGCAGACAGAUGAAGAAGGCGUUCGCACUGGAAAAUGUAGCUUCCCGGUUAAGUACCUUGGCCAUGUAGAAGUUGAUGAAUCAAGAGGAAUGCACAUCUGUGAAGAUGCUGUAAAAAGAUUGAAAGCUAUGUGGGCUUGCUAAUAAGGAGCAUCUCAGCCAAGCGCGGUGGCCU